UGUGUGUGUAUAUAGGUAUGUAUGUUUGUGUGUAUAGGUAUGUAUGUAUGUUUGUGUAUAUGUGUGUGUGUGUAUAUAGGUAUGUGUGUGUGUGUAUGUUAUAGGUAUGUGUGUGUGCGUGUGUAUAUAGGUAUGUAUGUGUGUGUGUAUAGGUUAUGUGUGUAUAUGUAUGUAUAUGUGUGUGUGUGUGUAUGUGUAUAGGUAUGUGUGUGUGCGUGUGUAUAUAGGUAUGUAUGUGUGUGUGUAUAUAGGUAUGUGUGUGUGUGUAUACUUAUGUGUGUGUGCGCGGUGUUAUGUGUGUGUGCGUGUGUGUAUAGGUAUGUGUGUGUGUGUUAUAUAGGUAUGUGUGUGUGUGUGUAUGUGUAUAGGUUGUGUGUGCGUGUGUAUAUAUAGGUAUGUGUGUGUGUGUAUAGGAUGUGUGUGUGUAUAGGUAUGUGUGUGUGUAGGUAUUGGAUGUGUGUGUAUAGGUAUGAAUGUAUGUGUGUGUGUGUAUAGGUAUGUGUGUGUGUAUAUAGGUAUGUGUGUGUGUGUAUAUAGGUAUGUGUGUGCGUGUGUAUAUAUAGGUAUAUGUGUGUGUGUAUAGGUAUGUGUGUGUGUGUAUAGGUAUGUGUGUGCGUGUGUAUAUAUAGGUAUGUGUGUGUGUGUAUAGGUAUGUGUGUGGUGUGUAUAGGUAUGUGUGUGUGUAGGUAUGUAUGUGUGUGUAUAGGUAUGAAUGUAUGUGUGUGUGUGUGUAUGUAUAUGUAUUUAUAUAAAUUAAUCAAAUACUGCCUAUCUUCCUGUGAUACAUCUGUUAAUGUAAUUCAUGUUUAUUCCUGUUUAAUGUUUAUUUUAUUCAUUAUUGCUCUUCUAUUCCUUUAUUUGUUGUUAUUGAUUGAAUAUAUAACUUCUGUAUUCAUUUGCGUUGGCAACAUUGUUAAAACAGUCACGCCAAUAAAGCACACUGUGAAGUGAACUGACAGACAGAGGGAGAGAGAGAUGGAAUGAGAAAGAGAGAGAGAGAGAGAGAGAGAGAGAGAGAGAGAGAGAGAGAGAGAGAGGGAGAGAUGGAACGAGAAAGAGCGAUAGAGAGAGAGAUGGAAAGAGAAGGAGAGAGAUAGAGAUGGAAAGAGAGAGAGAGAGAGAGAGAGAGGGAGAGAGAUGGAAAGAGAAGGAGAGAGAGAGAGAGAGAGAGGGAGAGAGAUGGAAAGAGAAGGAGAGAGAGAGAGAGAGAGAGGGAGAGAGAUGGAACGAGAAAGAGCGAUAGAGAGAGAGAGAUGGAAAGAGAAGGAGAGAGAGAGAGAGAGAGAGGGAGAGAGAUGGAACGAGAAAGAGCGAUAGAGAGAGAGAGAUGGAAAGAGAAGGAGAGAGAGAGAGAGAGAGAUGAGUGUAGUGUGACUCUGAAUGAGACGAGCUGCAUGUCCACUACAGCGUCACUCACAGAACUAUGAGACAGGAGCUCCAGGCUGUGUGUGUGUGUGUGUGUGUGUGUGUGUGUGUGUGUGUGUGUGUGUGUGUGUGUGUGUGUGUGCGAGUGAGUGAGAGUGAGAGAGAGAGAGAUGAUGAUGAUGAUGGACAGGCGUGAUGAUGGAUGACGGCUGUAACGAUGCUGAUGUUGCAGUGUGAUCUUAAUCAGAACUGCAAAAGGAGCAGCACAGCACUCAGAGGCCUCCUCUCUCUCUAUCUCCAUCUCUCUCACCCUGCCUCCCUCUGCAUCUCUCCUUCUCUUUCCAUCUCUCUCCCUCUCUC
Ictalurus punctatus (channel catfish) is the source of this 1725-nucleotide long non-coding RNA. Lineage: Eukaryota; Metazoa; Chordata; Actinopteri; Siluriformes; Ictaluridae. The record is from Ensembl.